AGCGAACGCUGGCGGCAGGCUUAACACAUGCAAGUCGAGCGGGCGUAGCAAUACGUCAGCGGCAGACGGGUGAGUAACGCGUGGGAACGUACCUUUGGUUCGGAACAACACAGGGAAACGUUGUGCUAAUACCGGAUAAGCCCUUACGGGGAAAGGAUUAUCGCCGAAAGAUCGGCCCGCGUCUGAUUAGCUAGUUGGUGAGGUAACGGCUCACCAAGGCGACGAUCAGUAGCUGGCUGAGAGGAUGAUCAGCCA
Molecule: ribosomal RNA, 255 nt
Filed under: uncultured bacterium
Lineage: Bacteria
Description: partial 16S ribosomal RNA
Rfam family: Bacterial small subunit ribosomal RNA
Source: RNAcentral